This 230-nucleotide ribosomal RNA is filed under the name uncultured bacterium. RNAcentral's name for it is "partial 16S ribosomal RNA". It matches the Rfam family "Bacterial small subunit ribosomal RNA", at positions 1261 to 1500 of the family's 1533-position model. The record is from RNAcentral.
CCGGAUGCGGAUCUCGAAAGCCUGUCCCAGUUCGGACUGGAGUCUGCAACCCGACUCCACGAAGUUGGAUUCGCUAGUAAUCGCGCAUCAGCCAUGGCGCGGUGAAUACGUUCCCGGGCCUUGUACACACCGCCCGUCAAGCCAUGGGAGCCGGGGGCGCCUGAAGUCCGGGACCGCGAGGACCGGCCUAGGGCGAAACUGGUAACUGGGCUAAGUCGUAACAAGGUAAC